This 29-nucleotide non-coding RNA is filed under the name Homo sapiens (human). Lineage: Eukaryota; Metazoa; Chordata; Mammalia; Primates; Hominidae. The record is from RNAcentral.
UCCAGGACAGUGGUGCUAGUAGUUGAUGU